Molecule: ribosomal RNA, 273 nt
Filed under: uncultured Staphylococcus sp.
Lineage: Bacteria; Bacillati; Bacillota; Bacilli; Caryophanales; Staphylococcaceae
Description: partial 16S ribosomal RNA
Rfam family: Bacterial small subunit ribosomal RNA
Source: RNAcentral
ACGUUAGCGGCGGACGGGUGAGUAACACGUGGGUAACCUACCUAUAAGACUGGGAUAACUUCGGGAAACCGGAGCUAAUACCGGAUAAUAUUUCGAACCGCAUGGUUCGAUAGUGAAAGAUGGUUUUGCUAUCACUUAUAGAUGGACCCGCGCCGUAUUAGCUAGUUGGUAAGGUAACGGCUUACCAAGGCGACGAUAUGUAGCCGACCUGAGAGGGUGAUCGGCCACACUGGAACUGAGACACGGUCCAGACUCCUACGGGAGGCAGCAGGC